This 615-nucleotide ribosomal RNA is filed under the name Triticum aestivum (bread wheat). RNAcentral describes it as "partial small subunit ribosomal RNA". The record is from RNAcentral. Lineage: Eukaryota; Viridiplantae; Streptophyta; Magnoliopsida; Poales; Poaceae.
AUGUUUGCUCGUGCCUCGGGAGCAUCUCAAUUCUGGAAAAACCUUGUUAAACUCAGGCCCCUUUUUCAAAGCCUCGUCAAAUUCGUUGUCCGCAAUGGUAGAUCCACCAGAUUCUGGCUCGAUUGGUGGUGCGGACCUUCCUCGCUGGCUAUUGCUUUCCCUAUUCUUUUCUCUUACUACCCGGACCCUGAGAUCUCUAUUUUUGAGCUUGCGUCGAAUAAUUGGGAUCUGCGACUGUGUCGCUCUCUCGCUCCUGUAGAGUUGGAAGACUGGCAGCGUCUUGUUGCUCUCUUCCCUUCGCUCUCGGAGGAGGAUGACACGGUCGUUUGGCCCCAUUCCCCUUCUGGUCGGUUCUCGGUUAAAUCCUUACAUGGCAAACUCAUUGUUGGGUCCAUCACUUCCAAAUUCAAAUGGAUCUGGAGGGCUCGUAUUCCUCCUAAGGUCAAGGUUUUCCUUUGGCAAGCCUCUCGUGGGCGUCUGCCGACGGGUGACCAAAUUCGCAAGCGCAAUGGCCCGGGAUCUGAUAGAUGUGCUUUAUGUGGGUUGAGAGAAGACUCGUCACAUAUUUUCUUCAACUGUGUGUUGGCUAAGCUGUUCUGGUGCUGUAUCAGAUGA